AGGAAUUGGCGGGGGAGCACCGCAACGGGAGGAGCGUGCGGUUCAAUUGGAUUCAACGCCGGACAACUCACCAGGAGCGACGGUUACAUGAAGGCCAGGUUGAUGACCUUGCCCGAUUUUCCGAGAGGUGGUGCAUGGCCGUCGUCAGUUCGUACCGUAAGGCGUUCUCUUAAGUGAGAUAACGAACGAGACCCUCACCAUUAAUUGCGAGCUUUCUCUCCGGAGGGAGUGCACAUUAGUGGGACCGCUGGCGCUAAGUCAGAGGAAGGAGAGGUCAACGGUAGGUCCGUAUGCCCCGAAUCUCCUGGGCUACACGCGCGCUACAAAGGUUGGGACAAUGGGCUACAACAUCGAAAGGUGAAGUCAAUCCCGAAACCCAAUCGUAGUUCGGAUUGAGGGUUGUAACUCACCCUCAUGAAGCUGGAUUCCGUAGUAAUCGCUUGUCAACAUCAAGCGGUGAAUAUGCCCCUGCUCCUUGCACACACCGCCCGUCAAGCCACCCGAGUAGGGUUUCAGUAAGGAUAUCUCUGAUUGGGGUUUUCGAACUGAGAUUCUGCAAGGAGGGCUAAGUCGUAACAAGGUAGCCUCAGUCAGUCA
This 597-nucleotide ribosomal RNA is filed under the name uncultured euryarchaeote. RNAcentral's name for it is "bacterial SSU rRNA". It matches the Rfam family "Archaeal small subunit ribosomal RNA", at positions 860 to 1458 of the family's 1478-position model. Lineage: Archaea; Methanobacteriati; Methanobacteriota. The record is from RNAcentral.